UCCCACGCUGUCAUCGGAGUUAUUAGGGA
Molecule: non-coding RNA, 29 nt
Filed under: Rattus norvegicus (Norway rat)
Lineage: Eukaryota; Metazoa; Chordata; Mammalia; Rodentia; Muridae
Source: RNAcentral